UACGUAGGGUGCGAGCGUUGUCCGGAAUUAUUGGGCGUAAAGGGCUCGUAGGCGGUUUGUCGCGUCGGGAGUGAAAACCAUGGGCUUAACUCAUGGCUUGCUUCCGAUACGGGCAGACUAGAGGCAUGCAGGGGAGAACGGAAUUCCUGAUGUAGCGGUGAAAUGCGCAGAUAUCAGGAGGAACACCGGUGGCGAAGGCGGGUCUCUGGGCCGAUAUUGACGCUGAGGAGCGAAAGCGUGGGGAGCAAACAGG
This 253-nucleotide ribosomal RNA is filed under the name uncultured bacterium. Its description in RNAcentral is "partial 16S ribosomal RNA". It matches the Rfam family "Bacterial small subunit ribosomal RNA", at positions 524 to 776 of the family's 1533-position model. The record is from RNAcentral.